CCUGGGUUGCUCAGUCGGUUAAGUUUCUGAGUCUUGAUCUCAGCUCAGGUGUUGAUCUCAGGGUUGUGAGUUCAAGCCCUGUGCUGUGCUCUGUACUGGUUAUAAAGCCUAGUUUAAAAAA
Long non-coding RNA from Herpailurus yagouaroundi (jaguarundi), 121 nucleotides. RefSeq lists it as uncharacterized. Lineage: Eukaryota; Metazoa; Chordata; Mammalia; Carnivora; Felidae. The transcript has 3 exons. The record is from RefSeq and is a predicted model, not a curated record.